This 578-nucleotide ribosomal RNA is filed under the name uncultured archaeon. RNAcentral's name for it is "bacterial SSU rRNA". It matches the Rfam family "Archaeal small subunit ribosomal RNA", at positions 1 to 586 of the family's 1478-position model. The record is from RNAcentral.
UUCCGGUUGAUCCUGCCAGACCUGACUGCUAUCGGAUUGAUACUAAGCCAUGUGAGUCAUUGUAGCAAUACAAGGCAGACGGCUCAGUAACACGUAGCCAAUCUAACCUAUGGACGGGGAUAACCUCGGGAAACUGAGGAUAAACCCCGAUAGAUCAUUAUGCCUGGAACGGUUUAUGGUCCAAACGAUUCGUCGCCAUAGGAUGAGACUGCGGCCUAUCAGCUUGUUGGUGAGGUAAUGGCCCACCAAGGCUAUUACAGGUACGGGCUCUGAGAGGAGAAGCCCGGAGAUGGGUACUGAGACACGGACCCAGGCCCUAUGGGGCGCAGCAGGCGAGAAACCUUUGCAAUGUGCGCAAGCACGACAAGGUUAAUCCGAGUGUUUCCUGCUAAAGGAAUCUUUUGCUAGUCCUAAAAACACUAGUGAAUAAGGGGUGGGCAAGUUCUGGUGUCAGCCGCCGCGGUAAAACCAGCACCUCAAGUUGUCAGGAGGAUUAUUGGGCCUAAAGCAUCCGUAGCCUGCUCUGUAAGUUUCCGGUUAAAUCCAUUUGCUUAACAAAUGGGCUGCCGAAAAUACUG